Molecule: long non-coding RNA, 2119 nt
Filed under: Durio zibethinus
Lineage: Eukaryota; Viridiplantae; Streptophyta; Magnoliopsida; Malvales; Malvaceae
Description: long non-coding RNA (DZIB_LNC000344)
Source: RNAcentral
AAAAAAAAAAAACUUAUGAAGCAACAAAACCCCCUCCUUCCAUUAUGUAUUUCACUUCACACAUUAUCCAAACUAAAAUUUUUUUCCUAGUCCUCUUUAUCACCUCCCAUGUUUUGUGACUCCCAUUAAUUUUUCUUCUCUUCUCAUUCUCACAUUCUCAUUUGUCUUUUUACUUUCAUCUCACUUUUAGACUAAGUUUGUCAUAUCUCCAACUUAAAGGUGUAAAUGAUACAUUAGUACUCGCAAACUACUCGAAUUCGAUUCGAUUAAAACUCGAAUUCGAUUCGAUAAUUAUCGAACCAAGCUCGAGCUCGAGUAACUUGACUUAUCGAAUGAGUCGAAUUUAAGCAUGUUAAUACCCGACUCGAAUAACUCGCGAGCUUAAUCGAUUUUUUUAUUAUAUAUUUUUUUAUUAUUUUAUUUAUAAAAUUAUUAUUUUACCCUUAACCUAAAAAACCCUAAAAUUUUAUUUUCUUCUUUCCUUCUUUUCAUUCCCCAUUUCUCCCCGUCUCUUUCAUUUCACGCAGCGCCCUUUCGUUCCACUCUUUUUCAAUAUUUCAAAGCUAAUUUCCAGAGUCAACUCAAAUCUAAGAUAAAUCAAAACUGAAAAAUCCAAGAUAGAUCAAAGUUGGAGCAAGUUGUUGCCUUUCUACAUAACUACAAAAGGUUUUUUCAUUAUAAGUGAACUUUACAGAUGCAGCCAUGGUUCUUUCUUGUGUCUGAUUAUGUAGUCAUCCAUGUAAUUUUGUACAAAAAAAUGAUGAUGAGAAAGUCUUUGAGCAUGAUCCACUUGCUCUGUUUGUCUGCGUUGCAGGAAUAGGUGCCUAAAGCAGGGCAUAAGUCAAUCCAAUCUUCUUUACGCCCGGGAUAGUUCUUGUGUUGCCUUCCCUUAGUAGGAGGUGAGAUUGGUCUUCCUAUGGUCUUAGUCGGGUGUGCUUUUCUUCUUUAUUCCUGUAACUUCCCUACUGCCAGCCACACCCCCGGUGUAGUAGUUCCUAACUAUAUAACCCACUAAAGGAAGAGUUGUCUCUUUGCCAUGCCAAUCCGCCACGCUAAGCGGCAGUAGUGCUCAAACCAAAGAGGAGUCAAACUGCCCCGAUCUGGGGAAUUGUGCUGUGCGGCGCAAGGGGUCUUUAGUUCGCCCGAAACUCCGGACCAGUUCCGCGAAAGGGGUGUCUUGCAUUUCUUGUACUAUAUAUAAACGACUUCCUUUUUGUCUGUCAAAAUUGAAACCUUUGCCUUUGAGGAAUUGGUGCUAAUAGUGCACGCGUGCGAGUAGUAGUUUUGGUAUUUGUUAUUGGCGGCAGGUCUUAGGACUAGUUGUUCCAUGUCCGAAGGAAAAACAAGUAAGACAGGGGCAGUAGUUCUCUAAUAGUCAUCCAACCCCUCGUUGAUGUCAUUUUACUUUUGUUGAUUUCAUAUGCCCUUCUACCAUCGUUUCAGCGACUCACAGAGCUUCCCUCAGCUCAGUCUUUUUGGUUCUUAAGAAUGGUCACCACCUCUCCCAAGAACAGAAUGAUUAUCCCUGUCCGAUGGGUUUAUAUCCAUCCCUGAAUGUUUUUGGGUAUUGUUCACUUUCCCACCAUUCUUGUAACCAUCACCUGUAAUCCGCACAAGCUCACCAUACAAAAAAGUCAACUACGAACCAAAACAAAAUAAAAAAACACUGAAAACUUAUUGGCAUUCGGCUUGACUUAGCAUUAAACUUCCUAUAAGAAUGUCUAGGGGAUGUAAUGUUCAAUUGUGAAUCACAAUCGAACCUGUGAAUUGGGUCUUAAAAGAUCAACCCAUAUGUUAAUUUAGUAUUUCUUUAAGUUUGUAAGCUUGACCUGUCCAAUAGAAAUAUAAAUGUAGUUUGGCCAUGCAUUAGAUUGUAAACUUGUCCAUAGAAAAAUGAAUCAAUUUUGGGAAAUGUCCACUGCAUAUUUUCCUUGAAAAAAUUCAUUUUUUUGUAUUCCAAAUAACUUGUUACAUAUGCCGAUCCUAAUAGACAAACAUUAGUAGCUAGUCUAGAUUGAACUUUUUACAUUAUAGUUUACGAACCAUAGGUUAACUAAUAAUAGAUACUCAUGUUAAGGCAAUUGAUAAGACACUGUCUAUAUUUUUUGCUUUAAUUAUA